This 274-nucleotide ribosomal RNA is filed under the name uncultured bacterium. Its description in RNAcentral is "partial 16S ribosomal RNA". It matches the Rfam family "Bacterial small subunit ribosomal RNA", at positions 523 to 796 of the family's 1533-position model. The record is from RNAcentral.
AUACGGAGGGUCCGAGCGUUAUCCGGAAUCAUUGGGUUUCAAGGGUCCGUAGGCGGGAAUCUAAGUCAGUGGUGAAAUCUUGCAGCUCAACUGUAAAAUUGCCAUUGAUACUGGAUUUCUUGAAUUAGUGUGAAGUGGUUAGAAUGUGUAGUGUAGCGGUGAAAUGCAUAGAGAUUACACAGAAUACCAAUUGCGAAGGCAGAUCACUAACACUAUAUUGACGCUAAGGGACGAAAGCGUGGGGAGCGAACAGGAUUAGAAACCCUAGUAGUCC